RNAcentral lists this ribosomal RNA (1402 nucleotides) under Pseudonocardia sp. HA12415. RNAcentral describes it as "bacterial SSU rRNA". It matches the Rfam family "Bacterial small subunit ribosomal RNA". The record is from RNAcentral. Lineage: Bacteria; Bacillati; Actinomycetota; Actinomycetes; Pseudonocardiales; Pseudonocardiaceae.
GACUGCAAUGCAGUCGAGCGGUAAGGCCAUUUCGGGGGUACACGAGCGGCGAACGGGUGAGUAACACGUGGGUGACCUGCCCUCCACUCUGGGAUAAGCCCGGGAAACUGGGUCUAAUACCGGAUAGGACCUCUGACCGCAUGGUUGGGGGUGGAAAGUUUUUUCGGUGGGGGAUGGGCCCGCGGCCUAUCAGCUUGUUGGUGGGGUGAUGGCCUACCAAGGCGGUGACGGGUAGCCGGCCUGAGAGGGCGACCGGCCACACUGGGACUGAGACACGUCCCAGACUCCUACGGGAGGCAGCAGUGGGGAAUAUUGCGCAAUGGGCGGAAGCCUGACGCAGCGACGCCGCGUGGGGGAUGACGGCCUUCGGGUUGUAAACCUCUUUCGCCAGGGACGAAGCUAACGUGACGGUACCUGGAGAAGAAGCACCGGCCAACUACGUGCCAGCAGCCGCGGUAACACGUAGGGUGCGAGCGUUGUCCGGAAUUAUUGGGCGUAAAGAGCUCGUAGGCGGUGUGUCGCGUCGAUCGUGAAAACUUGGGGCUUAACUCUGAGCGUGCGGUCGAUACGGGCAUCACUUGAGUUCGGCAGGGGAGACUGGAAUUCCUGGUGUAGCGGUGAAAUGCGCAGAUAUCAGGAGGAACACCGGUGGCGAAGGCGGGUCUCUGGGCCGAUACUGACGCUGAGGAGCGAAAGCAUGGGGAGCGAACAGGAUUAGAUACCCUGGUAGUCCAUGCCGUAAACGUUGGGCGCUAGGUGUGGGGACCAUUCCACGGUUUCUGUGCCGCAGCUAACGCAUUAAGCGCCCCGCCUGGGGAGUACGGCCGCAAGGCUAAAACUCAAAGGAAUUGACGGGGGCCCGCACAAGCGGCGGAGCAUGUGGAUUAAUUCGAUGCAACGCGAAGAACCUUACCUGGGUUUGACAUGCACCAGAUCGCCUGAGAGAUCAGGUUUCCCUUGUGGUUGGUGUGCAGGUGGUGCAUGGCUGUCGUCAGCUCGUGUCGUGAGAUGUUGGGUUAAGUCCCGCAACGAGCGCAACCCUUGUUCCAUGUUGCCAGCACGUAAUGGUGGGGACUCAUGGGAGACUGCCGGGGUCAACUCGGAGGAAGGUGGGGAUGACGUCAAGUCAUCAUGCCCCUUAUGUCCAGGGCUUCACACAUGCUACAAUGGCUCAUACAGAGGGCUGCGAGACCGUGAGGUGGAGCGAAUCCCUUAAAGUGAGUCUCAGUUCGGAUCGGGGUCUGCAACUCGACCCCGUGAAGUUGGAGUCGCUAGUAAUCGCAGAUCAGCAACGCUGCGGUGAAUACGUUCCCGGGCCUUGUACACACCGCCCGUCACGUCACGAAAGUUGGUAACACCCGAAGCCGGCCGUACCAACCCCUUGUGGGAGGGAGUAUUGUAG